UCCAGGAGCUCUGAAGUCUACACGAAUGGA
RNAcentral lists this non-coding RNA (30 nucleotides) under Homo sapiens (human). The record is from RNAcentral. Lineage: Eukaryota; Metazoa; Chordata; Mammalia; Primates; Hominidae.